Bos grunniens (domestic yak) is the source of this 3246-nucleotide long non-coding RNA. The record is from Ensembl. Lineage: Eukaryota; Metazoa; Chordata; Mammalia; Artiodactyla; Bovidae.
AUGUAUGCCUUAGGAUAUCAGCAGGACGGAGCACUCACAGGGCAGGCCCCCACAUGGCGUCACCUGAGGGGCUCUGACAGCUUCCCCACCCCUCCCACCAGGAAAUGCCCACCAGCGGCGCUCAUAACAUGCUACUCAAAGGCAUUAAAAGCAGUUGUUAAAAUGCAACUGUGCCACCAGGAAGAUGAUAUCCUCAGAACUUGUUAUCAAUUAGUGUCUCAGCUCAAGUUAAGAUUUUAUUGGCUACUGCUAAAGGCAGUAAAGAAAGGUCUGAAAUUUGCCACAGUGGAAGGUUGUGUACAUCCAGAAGCAGGAGGUGAGGGAGGCGUGAUGAGAACACUGGAUUCACAGAAGACUGAUAUCCAUGUGGCCUUAGGAAGAUGGCAUCCCUGAACCUUGAUCGCUUCUUUUGUCCAGUAAGUCCAGUAAUAUCUAUAUCCCACUGUCUCACUUGCUGCAAGUGUCAAAUGAGAGCAUAUGUAAAACCGAAUAAAGUCACUCGGUUGUGUCCAACUCUUUGGGACCCCAUGGACUGUAGCCCGCCAGGCCCCUCCAUCCGUGAGUAUUUUCCAGGCAAGAAUACUGGAGUGGGUUGCCAUUCCCUUCUCCAGGGGAUCUUCCUGACCCAAGGAUCAAACCCAGAUCUCCUGCAUUACAGGCAGACUCUUUACCAUCUGAGCCACCAGAGAAGCCCCCAUGUAAAACUAACAAUCCCUAUGUAAGGGAGGGAGAGAGGAAUAGAUAACAGAGCUAGGUUAGUACCUGGAGGCUUGGGCAACCUCAGCAUCCAGAAGGAAACUGAUGUGUGGCCCAGCUCCUCCCAAGCACCUGAGUGACACUCCACAGACCAGGGGUCCUGCCUCGCCCACCUGCUGAACCACAGCUGUCGGAGGCAGCAUCUCAGGAAGCAGACUUUGCAGCAUGAUCCACACCCCUGACGCCUUCCUAGAGUGGGCAGAAAGUGAAAGGCGUAGUGUGCAUUUCCCCUCCUCCGGGUGAUAGGGUUUCACAUUCCUUCCAGCCUCUUCGCAGGAGGACCAUGGAAUCUUCUCUGCAAGGCUGUCUAGAAGACUUCCCGCCCCCGCUCUGUGCAGACACUUGGGCUGUGUAUAUUUUCCACAUUUUUUUUUAAACUGCUUUUUUUGGGAAGCGAUUUUCCUCCAGCCCUGGACCAAGGACAAACCAGUCAGAGCUUGCCGUUGUGAGUCCAGAGGGCAGCCAGGCAUUUGCCUGAAGGCUUGUGGGGCACCAGUACUGCCUGUACUUUUCCAUGAAUGGAAGGAGGCGGAGGGGGGUGGCAGCAGGGUCGGCUUCCCCGGGAACGGCAUCCUGGAGAUUUUCCCAGCUGGCUUUGGGGAAGUUACUCCAACCUGAUCUAGUCCAGCUGUGGUGGAGGCCCUGAUGGGUGUGAGGAUUCAGACUAUUAGCACUGAUAUUUAAACAGUAGGUGGUUCUGAUGCCCUCAAACCAGUUUCCUCUCCCUGAUGGAACUGCAUGGCAGUUCUUCAGCCUGGGUUAUUAUUUGCACAUCUUAAAUACCCUACCUAGAUAGCAUAUUAAAAAGCAGAGAUAUUACCUUGCAAACAAAGGUCCGCCUAGUCAAGGCUAUGGUUUUUCCAGUGGUCAUGUAUGAAUGUGAGAGCUGGACUGUGAAGAAAGCUGAGCACCAAAGAAUUGAUGCUUUUGAACUGUAGUGUUGGAGAAGACUCUUGAGAGUCCCUUGGACUGCAAGGAGAUCCAACCAGUCCAUCCUAAAGGAGAUCAGUCCUUGGUGUUCAUUGGAAGGACUGAUGCUGAAGCUGCAACUCUAAUACUUUGGCCACCUCAUGUGAAGAGCUGACUCAUUUGAAAAGACCUGAUGCUGGGAAAGAUUGAGGGCAGGAGGAAAAGGGGGUGACAGAGGAUGAGAUGGUUGGAUGGCAUCACUGACUCGAUGGACGUGAGUCUGAGUGAACUCCGGGAGUUGGUGAUGGACAGGGAGGCCUGGCGUGCUGCAAUUCAUGGGGUCACAAAGAGUCAGACACGACAGCGACUGAACUGAACUGAACUGAAAUACCCUAGGCUUUAACACUGGUUGGCCUCACCGAAAACCUGUGCUCAUACCUCAGCCCAGCCUAAUCCUAGUGAGACGUGGAGAGUGAACUUCUGCCACCAACAAGACAGAUUCAUGAUAGAGGGUUUUGAGGGAACACAGGGUAUAUGAAGAAGUGGUUAAAUACAUGGAAUUUUUAGGAUCUGCCAUAUUCAAAUUCAACUGGCUCUACCACUUUUUAGCUGUUGUUACUUCUUUGAGUUUCAGUUUCCUCCCCAGUGAAACGGGCUUUCCCAGUGGCUCAGCAGUAAAAAAUCAGCCUGCAAAGCAGGAGAUGUGGAUCGAUCACUGGGUCAGGAAGAUCGCCCGGAGGAGGGCAUGGCAACCCACUCCAGUAAUUUUGCCUGGAGAAUCUCAUGGACAGAGGAGCCUGGUGGGCUGCAGCUCAUACAUUGCAAGAGUCGGAUAUGACUGAAGUGACUGAGCACGCAGGCACCAGUGAAAGAGCUUGCCUCAGAGUAUGGGGCAGGAUACAUUUAAAUGAUACAUAAAAAAGGAAUUAUCGCUGUGCCUGACACAAAAUUGGUGAUGUAUUGCAAUUGUAAAUAAGAGGAGCAGGCUGAAGCCUAUGACCCACCCAUCCUCUCAUGCCAGAAUAAUGAUGCUGUGAAAGCAGAAGGGAAGAUGAGGAUGGGGGAGGCCCACAGAACCUCACAGAAGGACAAUCUCUCCACUUUAGGAGCUGCAUAGGAUAGCUGGGGUUUGUGGCCAAGGCCUGCAGGAAAAGAAGAGGUGUGGGCUCUAGUCUGGUUCUUGGAGAACUCAAAGAAAUUGGAAUUUUCAGUGAACUCACAUGUGGUUCAAAGGCAGCCUUCCAAUGUGACAACCCAGCUUCCUGUUGGAUUAAUCCCCUGAAAACACAAUGGGAUUCUUUCCAUACCCCAACCCCACUCCUCAGGUUCUCCCACCACCCCAACUAAUGUCCAUUUCUUCCUGAAAAACCUUGGAACAAAACUACCACUCGACACUCUACUUUUCUUAAGUGCUGGUUGGCAGAACAAUAUGUAUAGGGUGAUUAUUCCAGUUAUGUGAAAAUAUAAAUAUUUUCAAUGACUAGAAAACAAUACGCCAAGGUUACUAUAUUCCAAGGUUAACAGUGAUUACCUAUUGUCUGCAAAGGGUGGAAUUAAGAGAUGAUUUUUGUUUUCAACUUC